GAAUUUUGGACAAUGGGCGCAAGCCUGAUCCAGCCAUGCCGCGUGAGUGAAGAAGGCCUUCUGUGUGGAAAGCUCAUGCGGACGGAAAGAACACUGCCAGGCUAAUACCCUGCGCGGGUGACGGUACCGUCAUAAGAAGCACCGGCUAACUGCGUGCCGGCAGCCGCGGUAAUACGUAGGGGGCGGGCGUUAAUCGGAAUUCCUGGGCGUAAAGCGUGCGCAGGCGGUUGAUUAAGACAGGCGUGAAAUCCCCGGGCUUAACCUGGGAACUGCGCUUGUGACUGGUCAGCUAGAGUACGGCAGAGGGGGGUGGAAUUCCACGUGUAGCAGUGAAAUGCGUAGAGAUGUGGAGGAACACCGAUGGCGAAGGCAGCCCCCUGGGCCGAUACUGACGCUCAUGCACGAAAGCGUGGGUAGCAAACAGG
RNAcentral lists this ribosomal RNA (425 nucleotides) under uncultured bacterium. RNAcentral describes it as "partial 16S ribosomal RNA". It matches the Rfam family "Bacterial small subunit ribosomal RNA", at positions 359 to 776 of the family's 1533-position model. The record is from RNAcentral.